GGACCCGCACAAGCGGUGGAGCAUGUUGUUUAAUUCGUCGCAACGCGAAGAACCUUACCUACGCUUGAAUCCCGGCAGCGGCUUUCAGAGAUGAGAGCUUCAUUUAGUUGGGCCGGAGACAGGUGCUGCAUGGCUGUCGUCAGCUCGUGUCGUGAGAUGUUGGGUUAAGUCCCGCAACGAGCGCAACCCUUGCCGUAUGUUGCUACCAGGUUAUGCUGGGCACUCAUACGGGACCGCCGGUGAUAAGCCGGAGGAAGGUGGGGACGACGUCAAGUCAUCAUGGCCCUUACGCGUAGGGCUACAAACGUGCUACAAUGGCUGUGACAGUGGGCAGCGAUACAGCAAUGUAAAGCAAAUCCCAAAAAGCAGUCUCAGUUCGGAUUGUCCUCUGCAACUCGAGGGCAUGAAGCUGGAAUCGCUAGUAAUCGUGGAUCAGCACGCCACGGUGAAUACGUUCCCGGGUCUU
Molecule: ribosomal RNA, 466 nt
Filed under: uncultured bacterium
Lineage: Bacteria
Description: bacterial SSU rRNA
Rfam family: Bacterial small subunit ribosomal RNA
Source: RNAcentral